GAUGAACGCUGGCGGCGUGCUUAACACAUGCAAGUCGAACGGUGAAGCAGGAGCUUGCUCUUGUGGAUCAGUGGCGAACGGGUGAGUAACACGUGAGCAACAUGCCCCUGACUCUGGGAUAAGCGCUGGAAACGGCGUCUAAUACUGGCGAUGUGAGGUGACCGCCUGGUCUGCAUCUGGAAAGUCGUUCGGUUGGGGAUGGGCUCGCGGCCUAUCAGCUGGUUGGUGAGGUAGGGGCCCACCAAGGCGUCGACGGGUAGCCGGCCUGAAAGGGUGACCGGCCACACCGGGACUGAGACACGGCCCAGACUCCUACGGGAGGCAGCAGUGGGGAAUAUUGCACAAUGGGCGGAAGCCUGAUGCAGCAACGCCGCGUGAGGGAUGACGGCCUUCGGGUUGUAAACCUCUUUUAGCAGGGAAGAGGCGAAAGUGACGGUACCUGCAGAAAAAGCACCGGCUAACUACGUGCCAGCCGCCGCCGUAA
This 484-nucleotide ribosomal RNA is filed under the name uncultured bacterium. Its description in RNAcentral is "partial 16S ribosomal RNA". It matches the Rfam family "Bacterial small subunit ribosomal RNA", at positions 28 to 523 of the family's 1533-position model. The record is from RNAcentral.